UACGGAGGGUGCGAGCGUUAUCCGGAAUUACUGGGUUUAAAGGGUGCGUAGGCGGCUGUGUAAGUCAGGAGUGAAAGUUUGCGGCUCAACCGUAAAAUUGCUUUUGAUACUGCAUGGCUAGAAUCAGGAUGAGGUUAGCGGAAUGUGGCAUGUAGCGGUGAAAUGCAUAGAGAUGUGGAGGAACACCGAUGGCGAAGGCAGCCCCCUGGGUCAACACUGACGCUCAUGCACGAAAGCGUGGGGAGCAAACAGG
This 253-nucleotide ribosomal RNA is filed under the name uncultured bacterium. RNAcentral describes it as "partial 16S ribosomal RNA". It matches the Rfam family "Bacterial small subunit ribosomal RNA", at positions 524 to 776 of the family's 1533-position model. The record is from RNAcentral.